GACGAACGCUGGCGGCGUGCUUAAUACAUGCAAGUCGAACGGAAAGGCCCUGUUCUUGUGGGGUGCUCGAGUGGCGAACGGGUGAGUAACACGUGAGUAACAUGCCCUUGAGAUUGGGAUAACUUCAGGAAACUGGGACGAAUACAGCACAUGACAACCUUCUGCACGGGGUGUGUGGUUAAGUUGCGGCGUUUCGGCAUGGAGGCGCGGCUCAUCAGCUUGUUGGGGGGGUAGUGGCUUACCAAGGCUUCGACGGGUGGCCGGCCUGAGAGGGUGACCGGGCACAUAGGGACAGAGAUAGGGCCCAGAGUGCUACGGGGGGCAGCGGUGGGGAAUAUUGCAAGAUGGGCGGAGGGCGGGUGCAGGAGCGUCGGGUGGGGGAUGACGGCUGGCAGGUUAGAACGCGGUUUAGCGUGUGACGAAGCGUGAGUGACGGUAAUGGGUAAGGAAGCAACGGCUAACUACGUG
This 468-nucleotide ribosomal RNA is filed under the name uncultured bacterium. RNAcentral's name for it is "partial 16S ribosomal RNA". It matches the Rfam family "Bacterial small subunit ribosomal RNA", at positions 28 to 507 of the family's 1533-position model. The record is from RNAcentral.